GGAAGUGAGGGUGAUCUGUCUGCGACAUCUGUCACCCCAUUGAUAGCCAGGGUUGAUUCAGCUGAUCUGGCUGGCUGGGCGGGUGUCCCCUUCCUCCCUCACCACUCCCUGUGUGUCCCUCCUGGAGCUGCGAGCUCGGUUAAAGAGGACGACCUUCCCAGAAGAGAGGAGGAGCUGUCUUCGGUCAAGGGUGUAUAAGGAACUGUGAUCCCCUGCUAGAACCGCCAAACAAGCAACCAAGAAUUUUUACUGAAGUUUUCCUUAAAGAGGUCUGCUAACUCCUUCAGUCACCAUCUAUGGGAAGCUUUAUGGGGCACU
RNAcentral lists this small nuclear RNA (318 nucleotides) under Jaculus jaculus (lesser Egyptian jerboa). Its description in RNAcentral is "7SK RNA (ENSJJAG00000006174.1)". It matches the Rfam family "7SK RNA". Rfam says of the family: 7SK was discovered as an abundant small nuclear RNA in the mid-70s but a possible function has only recently been suggested. Lineage: Eukaryota; Metazoa; Chordata; Mammalia; Rodentia; Dipodidae. The record is from Rfam by way of RNAcentral.